AAUACGUAGGCAGCGAGCGUUGUUCGGAGUUACUGGGCGUAAAGCGUGCGUAGGCGGUGGUCCAAGUCUGGUGUGAAAUCUCCCGGCUCAACUGGGAGGGUGCGCCGGAAACUGGGCCGCUGGAGUGCGGGAGAGGCAAGCGGAAUUCCAGGUGUAGCGGUGCAAUGCGUAGAUAUCUGGAGGAACACCCGUGGUGCAGACGGCUUGCUGGACCGUGACUGACGCUGAGGCACGAAAGCGUGGGUAGCAAACAGGA
Molecule: ribosomal RNA, 256 nt
Filed under: uncultured prokaryote
Description: partial 16S ribosomal RNA
Rfam family: Bacterial small subunit ribosomal RNA
Source: RNAcentral